GCCUCCGCUCCCGCCCCCCCUCACUGCCUCCUGCCAGCCCCUUAACGCACGUUCUGCCCCUGCUUUUUCCUCAGGCCCAGCAGAGUAGGGGUGUGGGGACCCAGUCUCCCUUCACGAAGCUCUGACUUGUUCUCUUCCUGCCGCCACCAGUCCGUGAGGAGAGGCCAGGGCAGGUGUCCUCCCUGCACGGAAGCCAGUGCCUCCUUCCUGUAGGGGCCAUGAGCCCCCCACGUCCUUGUUCAAGUUCAGGUGCUCAGCCAGAUGGCCCCUGACCCCUGCAUGGAGGAAAGCAUGCCCCUUGCUGCCGGGAAGGUCGUCUGUGCAAACGAGUGGCCGCGGAUCGCAUCAGCCGAGAGUCACCACCCCGUGUUGCAGAAAUCAAGUCCAGAAACUUGUUACAGAGAAAACCACAGGCCAGAAACGGAGUCACUGUGCCGAAGCCCCUGGCGCCGAGACUGGACUUGUUACCUGACUUAGGUGCAGCUUCAGGCUUCUCCAGGACUGGAGUCUGGGGUUUUCCGGUCAGUACCAACAAGGCUAUCUGUCCCCCAAACUCCUGCCAUCUCCCUGCUGAGACCCCCUCACCUUCCCCCAUACAAUCACAAUCCUUUCUUUGCUAGUUUUUUUUUCCUGUCCAGUUUCUGCCUAUACUGUCCCCUUCUCAGAGCACCUCUGCUCACAAGAUGGGAUGAAUCACUCAAUAAAGCUCCUUAGAUCUGCAAA
Molecule: long non-coding RNA, 723 nt
Organism: Pteropus alecto (black flying fox)
Lineage: Eukaryota; Metazoa; Chordata; Mammalia; Chiroptera; Pteropodidae
Exons: 2
Source: RefSeq, a predicted model, not a curated record